RNAcentral lists this ribosomal RNA (296 nucleotides) under Ditylum brightwellii. RNAcentral describes it as "partial Bacterial large subunit ribosomal RNA". It matches the Rfam family "Bacterial large subunit ribosomal RNA", at positions 667 to 960 of the family's 2925-position model. The record is from RNAcentral. Lineage: Eukaryota; Bacillariophyta; Thalassiosirophyceae; Lithodesmiales; Lithodesmiaceae.
CGAAGCGAAAGCGAGUCUGAACAGGGCGAUUAAGUAUGUGUGCGUAGACCCGAAACCAGGUGAUCUACCCAUGUCCAGGUUGAAGUCCAGGUAACACUGGAUGGAGGACCGAACCGACUCACGUUGAAAAGUGACCGGAUGAGGUGUGGGUAGCGGAGAAAUUCCAAACGAACUUGGAGAUAGCUGGUUCUCUCCGAAAUAGCUUUAGGGCUAGCCUCAGAGUAAGAGUCAUGGAGGUAGAGCACUGUUUGGACUAGGGGCCCAUCUCGGGUUACCGAAUUCAGAUAAACUCCGAA